GUAUCCUGGCUCAGGAUGAACGCUAGCUACAGGCUUAACACAUGCAAGUCGAGGGGCAGCAUGGUCUUAGCUUGCUAAGGCCGAUGGCGACCGGCGCACGGGUGAGUAACACGUAUCCAACCUGCCGUCUACUCUUGGACAGCCUUCUGAAAGGAAGAUUAAUACAAGAUGGCAUCAUGAGUCCGCAUGUUCACAUGAUUAAAGGUAUUCCGGUAGACGAUGGGGAUGG
This 229-nucleotide ribosomal RNA is filed under the name uncultured bacterium. RNAcentral's name for it is "partial 16S ribosomal RNA". It matches the Rfam family "Bacterial small subunit ribosomal RNA", at positions 14 to 234 of the family's 1533-position model. The record is from RNAcentral.